This 200-nucleotide long non-coding RNA is filed under the name Panax ginseng (ginseng). Its description in RNAcentral is "long non-coding RNA (PGIN_LNC003153)". The record is from RNAcentral. Lineage: Eukaryota; Viridiplantae; Streptophyta; Magnoliopsida; Apiales; Araliaceae.
AAGAAUCUGCCACAUUGGCUUGUUUCUUUCUUUGAUCUUGUUGAUGCAUCAGAUGGCACAUUUGAUCUGCAAAUUAGGCCUUUCUGAAUCGAAUCAUCUUUUCUUCUACCCCAUUUCUUUAUAUUUUGGACUAGAGUAGGUUUUUUCUUGAUACUUUCUUAGUGCUUGAAUAGCUAGUAGUAAUAUCACCAAAGGUUGAC